CAAUAGCAUAUAUUAACGUUGUUGCAGUUGAAAAGCUCGUAGUUGAACUUUUGGUAGGAGCGACCUGGCCUUGGGCGCAUGCCCUUGUUUGCCGUGUGUCGUGUCUGGCCAUCCUUUUCUUCGUUUUUCGGGGGGAUCUUUUACUGUGAGUAAACUGGAGUGCUCAAAACAAGACGUUUGUUUGGUACAUUAAAGCAUGGAAUAAUAAGAUAGGACCUGGUUACUAUUUUGUUGGUUUGCAUAGCUAGGUAAUGAUUAACAGGGACAGUUGGGGGUAUUCGUAUUUAAUUGUCAGAGGUGAAAUUCUUGGAUUUAUGAAAGACGAACGACUGCGAAAGCAUUUACCAAGGAUGUUUUCAUUAA
RNAcentral lists this ribosomal RNA (363 nucleotides) under uncultured eukaryote. RNAcentral describes it as "partial 18S ribosomal RNA". It matches the Rfam family "Eukaryotic small subunit ribosomal RNA", at positions 592 to 976 of the family's 1831-position model. The record is from RNAcentral.